UAAAAAAAGGACUGAAUUUUGCGAGCAAUUCGAAGAAAACUUGCUUUCAAUAAUAUGGUGGAAAAAGAUGAAACAAUUACGGAUCCAAGAGAGAUUGGUAAACUACCAUAAAUUUGAUUAGCGAAAUGUUUUUGGACCGCGUUAUUUUUUUGAAAGGGUAUUGCGAUAGUGGUAGAAGGAUAUCGUUACAAUAAGAAAGCAACAGGUUUAUUAUCAAAAAGUUUUAAGGCAAUAUGACUCUAAAUUAAUAAUUUAAGAAAUUUGAAGCGAAAUGUAUCAUUAACUAUAAAAAAAUAAGUCUAGAGGUGACCAGGGAACUUUGUAUACUAAAAACAAAUAUUUCCUAAUUGGUGUUUGGAAAAUAACACAAACGACAUUUAGGAAAUAUUGUCUAGUGAGUUCGUUUAAAGAAAGCAAGAAACGGUUAUUGAUGAGUAAAAGGAUAUUUUGGAAAAGAUAUUGAAUGGCAACAAAACAUCUAAUUUACAGACAUCAAAAUAAGCGAAAUGACUAGGAUAUAUAUCCUACGUUAGAUAAAUAAAAUAGCUUAAAAGGAUGUAUAACAGAUAAAGGAAAUUUUUAUUCUGGAUAAAAAAGAUUGUCAAAGAGGAGUGAUUAAAUAAAAUUGACAAUCGUCUCCACCAUGGUACGAACAUCGGCCGCGGCAGCGAUACCAACUUCCAAAACCUCCAAGUGAUUUGCAGCACCCUUAGACAUGACAUUCGAAUCAACCUCCACUAAGUCUUUGGCAGAGGGGCUCUCUUCAACAACAACGUUGUUGGUAACCAAAGAAAUGGCAAGAACACGAAUACCACAAUGACGCGCAACGACUACUUCGGGAACCGUAGACAUGCCGACACAAUCAGCUCCCAUAAGAGCAAGCAUUCGACUUUCAGCGCGAGUCUCAAAACACGGACCAGAUACAAAUGCAUAACAACCUUCGUGAAUUGUACGGCUAACCUUGUGAGCCUUGGCAGCAUCGUAAACCAAUUUUCGUAAUUCUAAAUCAUAAGCAUCCGAUAAUGGGGGGAAACGUACACCAAAUUCGUGUGCAUUAGGGCCUCUGAGAGGGUUCAUGCCCGCGAGGCCAGGAAAAUUGAUGUGAUCUUUAAGAAUCAUCAAAUCACCAACUUUGAAACCUUGAUUCAAGCCGCCAGCUGCGUUGGUAACAACCAUGACUUCAACGCCCAUGACUUUCAUAAGACGAACAGGAAACGUGGUAGCUUCUAUAGGAUAUCCCUCAUAAGAGUGGUAACGACCAGCCAAAAUCAUAGUGGGAACGCGUUUCUCGCCCAAAAAGGCAAAGUACAAUUUGGAUGCGUGACCUGGAACAUGGGAAACAUGAAAGUGAGGAAUAUCUUCAUAAGGAACUUCAUAAACUGGAGCCGACAAUCCAGAGGCUAAUGUGCCCAAACCGCUACCGCAAAUGAUGGCAACUUUGGGCUUGGAAAGCUCUUCGGGGACUUGUUCAAUGAUGUAUUCACGAGCCUCAAGCGCUUUAAUGUAAGGUUCAGUAUGAUGGGGUUGCUGUUUUGCCUGGUGAAGAAAAGAUGUAGCAGUCAUUGUUG
This is a non-coding RNA of Schizosaccharomyces pombe (fission yeast), 1568 nucleotides long. The record is from the annotation of a GenBank genome assembly. NCBI's taxonomy places the organism in Eukaryota, Fungi, Ascomycota, Schizosaccharomycetes, Schizosaccharomycetales, Schizosaccharomycetaceae.